UGGAUAACGAGUUCUGACACUGACUCACUCCAGCAUUCUACCAUCUUCAUGAGUUCAACCUGGAAAUGUGCCAGAGUUUCCUGGAAAGAUAAAUGGAGCAUGGAGCUUAAUGAAAAUGUGAGAUCUUCUGUUUUCCAGCACGCUGAACACGCAGCAGCCCGCUCUUACAUCAAACGCACAGAUUGGGCCUUCUGAGACAGCCAGAGGUCAAAGAAUUAUUUUUCUGGGUAGUCACUCUGAAAUUCUACUUUUGCCACAAUGACGCCCUGCAGUUGGACCUGUGAGGACACACUCAUGAUGAAGCAAGGGAGAGUGAAAAGUUUUCUCUUUUUUUUUUUUUUUUUUGGUCAAACUGAACUCUCCAUUUAAACUGUUUUUAUUACAUUUCUUUCAUUAAAAAGUUACAAUAUGCCAAAAAGUGAAACUAUAAAAGCAAUUGUUUACAUUUUUUAGAAACACAAGUAAGUCCUUGCUAAACUAUGUUUAUGCAACAAUUUCUAUAAUUCUGUGUUCCAUUUGUUUUUACAUUUUACAACAUGUUAGUUUUUCUAAUAAA
Molecule: long non-coding RNA, 556 nt
Organism: Austrofundulus limnaeus
Lineage: Eukaryota; Metazoa; Chordata; Actinopteri; Cyprinodontiformes; Rivulidae
Exons: 3
Source: RefSeq, a predicted model, not a curated record